RNAcentral lists this ribosomal RNA (301 nucleotides) under uncultured bacterium. Its description in RNAcentral is "partial 16S ribosomal RNA". It matches the Rfam family "Bacterial small subunit ribosomal RNA", at positions 509 to 809 of the family's 1533-position model. The record is from RNAcentral.
CAGUCGCCACGGUAAUACGUAGGUGGCAAGCGUUGUCCGGAAUUAUUGGGCGUAAAGGGCUCGCAGGCGGUUUCUUAAGUCUGAUGUGAAAGCCCCCGGCUCAACCGGGGAGGGUCAUUGGAAACUGGGAAACUUGAGUGCAGAAGAGGAGAGUGGAAUUCCACGUGUAGCGGUGAAAUGCGUAGAGAUGUGGAGGAACACCAGUGGCGAAGGCGACUCUCUGGUCUGUAACUGACGCUGAGGAGCGAAAGCGUGGGGAGCGAACAGGAUUAGAUACCCCCGUAGUCCCUGUCUCUUAUAA